UCAAAGGACUUCUUAGAGUCCAAUGCACACUUAAUAUUAAGUCCAAU
Capsicum annuum is the source of this 47-nucleotide non-coding RNA. The record is from Rfam. NCBI's taxonomy places the organism in Eukaryota, Viridiplantae, Streptophyta, Magnoliopsida, Solanales, Solanaceae.